AUAGCCUUAGGAAUUUAUUUAAGGUUUAGCCUGCCCAAUGUUUAAAUUAAUGGCCGCAGUACCUUAACUGUGCAAAGGUAGCAUAAUCAAUUGGCUUUUAAAUGGAGUCUUGUAUGAAAGGAGUGACGUGGUAAAGCUGUCUCAAUUUUGUUUUAUUUAACUUACUAAAAAGGUGAAAAAUCCUUUAAUUAUGAAAAAAGACGAGAAGACCCUUAGAGUUUUUAUAAAAGUUUAUUAACAUAAGCUAAGUAUUUGUUGGGGCGACAAGGAAACAAAUAACUUUCCUGUUUUACUAGACGUGUUUUCAAAGUAAGAUUAAACUACCUAAGGGAUAACAGCAUAAUUCUUUUUGAGUUUGUGACCUCGAUGUUGGACUAGGAACUAACCAGACAAGCCGUCUGGCUUUGUGGCUCUGUUCGAGCUU
RNAcentral lists this ribosomal RNA (424 nucleotides) under Siphonaria sp. LINE-2015f. Its description in RNAcentral is "partial 16S ribosomal RNA". It matches the Rfam family "Bacterial large subunit ribosomal RNA", at positions 1826 to 2588 of the family's 2925-position model. The record is from RNAcentral. Lineage: Eukaryota; Metazoa; Mollusca; Gastropoda; Siphonariida; Siphonariidae.